Molecule: ribosomal RNA, 447 nt
Filed under: uncultured bacterium
Lineage: Bacteria
Description: bacterial SSU rRNA
Rfam family: Bacterial small subunit ribosomal RNA
Source: RNAcentral
ACCAGACUCCUACGGGAGGCAGCGGUGGGGAAUAUUGCACAAUGGGGGGAACCCUGAUGCAGCGACGCCGCGUGGGUGAAGGAGUAUUUCGGUAUGUAAAGCCCUAUCAGCAGGGAAGAACAAUGACGGUACCUGACUAAGAAGCACCGGCUAAAUACGUGCCAGCAGCCGCGGUAAUACGUAUGGUGCAAGCGUUAUCCGGAUUUACUGGGUGUAAAGGGAGCGUAGACGGCGACGCAAGUCUGGAGUGAAAGCCCGGGGCCCAACCCCGGGACUGCUCUGGAAACUGCGUCGCUGGAGUACGGGAGGGGCAGGCGGAAUUCCUGGUGUAGCGGUGAAAUGCGUAGAUAUCAGGAGGAACACCGGCGGCGAAGGCGGCCUGCUGGACCGUGACUGACGUUGAGGCUCGAGAGCGUGGGGAGCAAACAGGAUUAGAUACCCCUGUAC